CCUACGGGGGGCAGCAGUGAGGAAUAUUGGUCAAUGGACGAGAGUCUGAACCAGCCAAGUAGCGUGAAGGAUGACUGCCCUAUGGGUUGUAAACUUCUUUUAUAUGGGAAUAAAAUGUUCCACGUGUGGGAUUUUGUAUGUACCAUAUGAAUAAGGAUCGGCUAACUCCGUGCCAGCAGCCGCGGUAAUACGGAGGAUCCGAGCGUUAUCCGGAUUUAUUGGGUUUAAAGGGAGCGUAGGUGGAUUGUUAAGUCAGUUGUGAAAGUUUGCGGCUCAACCGUAAAAUUGCAGUUGAAACUGGCAGUCUUGAGUACAGUAGAGGUGGGUGGAAUUCGUGGUGUAGCGGUGAAAUGCUUAGAUAUCACGAAGAACUCCGAUUGCGAAGGCAGUUCACUGGACUGCAACUGACACUGAGGCUCGAAAGUGUGGGUAUCAAACAGGAUUAGAUACCCGGGUAGUC
This 460-nucleotide ribosomal RNA is filed under the name uncultured bacterium. RNAcentral describes it as "partial 16S ribosomal RNA". It matches the Rfam family "Bacterial small subunit ribosomal RNA", at positions 338 to 795 of the family's 1533-position model. The record is from RNAcentral.